RNAcentral lists this ribosomal RNA (236 nucleotides) under uncultured bacterium. Its description in RNAcentral is "partial 16S ribosomal RNA". It matches the Rfam family "Bacterial small subunit ribosomal RNA", at positions 98 to 334 of the family's 1533-position model. The record is from RNAcentral.
CCGCACGGGUGAGUAACACGUAUCCAACCUGCCGUCUACUCUUGGACAGCCUUCUGAAAGGAAGAUUAAUACAAGAUGGCAUCAUGAGUCCGCAUGUUCACAUGAUUAAAGGUAUUCCGGUAGACGAUGGGAAUGCGUUCCAUUAGAUAGUAGGCGGGGUAACGGCCCACCUAGUCUUCGAUGGAUAGGGGUUCUGAGAGGAAGGUCCCCCACAUUGGAACUGAGACACGGUCCAA